GUCCACGCCGUAAACGAUGGGUGCUAGGUGUGGGUGGUGUCGACUCCCUCCGUGCCGCAGCUAACGCAUUAAGCACCCCGCCUGGGGAGUACGGCCGCAAGGCUAAAACUCAAAGGAAUUGACGGGGACCCCGCACAAGCAGCGGAGCAUGUGGUUUAAUUCGAUGCAACGCGAAGAACCUUACCAGGGCUUGACAUGCACUGGAAAGCCGUAGAAAUACGGUCCUCCUUCGGGACCAGUGCACAGGUGGUGCAUGGCUGUCGU
This 264-nucleotide ribosomal RNA is filed under the name uncultured bacterium. RNAcentral describes it as "partial 16S ribosomal RNA". It matches the Rfam family "Bacterial small subunit ribosomal RNA", at positions 793 to 1055 of the family's 1533-position model. The record is from RNAcentral.